GGACGUCAUCGACGAAUUCACACCUGCCGCCACCAUCCGUGCCGGGGUGCCCCGCAAGGGGUUCGUCACGGAGGCGGCAGGGAAGCCCAAC
RNAcentral lists this small RNA (91 nucleotides) under Xanthomonas arboricola. RNAcentral's name for it is "t44 RNA". It matches the Rfam family "t44 RNA". From Rfam's summary of the family: This family consists of a number of bacterial RNA genes of between 135 and 170 bases in length. The t44 gene is found between the map and rpsB genes in all species in the full alignment apart from Shigella flexneri. The function of this RNA is unknown. Lineage: Bacteria; Pseudomonadati; Pseudomonadota; Gammaproteobacteria; Lysobacterales; Lysobacteraceae. The record is from RNAcentral.